This 420-nucleotide ribosomal RNA is filed under the name uncultured Desulfovibrio sp. RNAcentral describes it as "bacterial SSU rRNA". It matches the Rfam family "Bacterial small subunit ribosomal RNA", at positions 359 to 770 of the family's 1533-position model. The record is from RNAcentral. Lineage: Bacteria; Pseudomonadati; Thermodesulfobacteriota; Desulfovibrionia; Desulfovibrionales; Desulfovibrionaceae.
GAAUAUUGCGCAAUGGGGGAAACCCUGACGCAGCGACGCCGUGUGAGGGAAGAAGGCUUUCGGGUCGUAAACCUCUGUCGGGAAGGAAGAACCUCUCAAGGCUGAACAAGUCUUGGGACUGACGGUACUUCCAAAGGAAGCACCGGCUAACUCCGUGCCAGCAGCCGCGGUAAUACGGAGGGUGCAGGCGUUAAUCGGAAUCACUGGGCGUAAAGCGCGCGUAGGCCGUCUUUUAAGUCGGACGUGAAAGCCCUCGGCUCAACCGGGGAACUGCGUUCGAAACUGGGAGACUUGAGUCCUAGAGAGGGUGGCGGAAUUCCGGGUGUAGGAGUGAAAUCCGUAGAUAUCCGGAGGAACACCGGUGGCGAAGGCGGCCACCUGGACCGAUAUUGACGCUGAGACGCGAAAGCGUGGGUAGCA